Molecule: ribosomal RNA, 433 nt
Filed under: uncultured bacterium
Lineage: Bacteria
Description: partial 16S ribosomal RNA
Rfam family: Bacterial small subunit ribosomal RNA
Source: RNAcentral
AACGAACGCUGGCGGCAUGCCUAACACAUGCAAGUCGAACGAGACCUUCGGGGCUAGUGGCGCACGGGUGCGUAACGCGUGGGAACCUGCCCUUAGGUUCGGAAUAACUCCCCGAAAGGGGUGCUAAUACCGGAUAAUGUCUUCGGACCAAAGAUUUAUCGCGUUUGGAUGGGCCCGCGUUGGAUUAGCUAGUUGGUAGGGUAAAAGCCUACCAAGGCGACGAUACAUAGCUGGUCUGAGAGGAUGAUCAGCCACACUGGGACUGAGACACGGCCCAGACUCCUACGGGAGGCAGCAGUGGGGAAUAUUGGACAAUGGGCGAAAGCCUGAUCCAGCAAUGCCGCGUGAGUGAUGAAGGCCUUAGGGUUGUAAAGCUCUUUUACCCGGGAGGAUAAUGACAGUACCGGGAGAAUAAGCGCCGGCUAACUCCGUG